UACAGAGGGUGCUAGCGUUGUUCGGAAUUAUUGGGCGUAAAGGGCGCGUAGGCGGUUUGGCAAGUUUGGUGUGAAAUCUUCGGGCUCAACUCGAAGUCUGCAUCGAAAACUGCCGGGCUUGAGUAUGGGAGAGGUGAGUGGAAUUUCCGGUGUAGCGGUGAAAUGCGUAGAUAUCAGGAGGAACACCUGCGGUGUAGACGGCUUACUGGACCAUAACUGACGCUGAGGCACGAAAGCGUGGGUAGCAAACAGG
This 253-nucleotide ribosomal RNA is filed under the name uncultured bacterium. RNAcentral's name for it is "partial 16S ribosomal RNA". It matches the Rfam family "Bacterial small subunit ribosomal RNA", at positions 524 to 776 of the family's 1533-position model. The record is from RNAcentral.